Long non-coding RNA from Macadamia integrifolia, 1200 nucleotides. RefSeq lists it as uncharacterized. NCBI's taxonomy places the organism in Eukaryota, Viridiplantae, Streptophyta, Magnoliopsida, Proteales, Proteaceae. The record is from RefSeq and is a predicted model, not a curated record. The transcript has 3 exons.
UUCUAGUAAUUAUCAUAUAAGAAAAAUAAAAGAACACUAACCAUUGUCCUCAGGGGAUUUUGUCUAACCAUGGAAAUGCAAGUGAAAGAAGGGAGUAACUCUCUCGGAUAAGGUUCCUCCUGCAACCGCAACAAUAUAUGAUUUAGAUGGUGCAGAUAGAAGACAAGAGUUUCUCCACUGGUAAUCUAUUAAUAUGGCCUAUCAUUAUAUAUAAGUGUACAGAUUACCUGUGUUGGAACUUUUGGUUAUGGGGCUGAUGAUGAUGCCAAACCAAAUGGUCAUCAAUGGCCUCUAGUGUGGAGAUUUGAUGUCUAUUUGCUAAGCUCAGGUCGUCAAUGGUCUCUCGAGUGAAGAUGUGGUCUCUACUUUGACCCCUUGUGAAUCCUUUUUGUUGGGAAAGGUACCUCCGAAGCCCAGCUAAGGGUGCUGCUCAAGCUUACAGGCACUCAAUUAGAUGGCUACGACUCAUUAAACUUUUGUGUGCAAGUGUUUCAAGACUUCUGACAACAGAGCUGCCCUAGCCACGUGAGAUGUCUCUUCACUUGAGAGAGCACCAACGAAAUUAAAUCUUUCACCCUAAGGUACACACCUAUAAAUAAGAGAGAUUCUAAUUCAGUGAGGCUCCCCAUGAGGAAGGCACCCCACAUGGAUAUAGAAUGGAACAUCUAUUUUGAAGGCUCUUGCUAGUUUAAAAGAUUUCAUGAACUAUCUCCAAAAAUGCAGAGCAGGGAAUAUCCACUUUGAAGGCUCUUGCUAGUGUGAUGAUGAUGCUAAUGAGGUAUCAGCUUGUGAGGAGUCUCGGAAGCCUUGAAACACUUGCACACAGCAACACAGGUUCAAUGAGUAGUAGCCAUCUUAUUGAGUGCUUGUGAGCUUGAGCAGCACCCACCACUGGGCCUCGGAAGGCCCUCUCCCAACAACAAGGAUGCAUAAGGGAUCAAAGCAGACACCACAUCUCCACACGAGAGGCCAUUGACUACCUGACCUUGGCAAGGAGACACCACAUUUCCAUGGAGAUACCAUUGACGACCUUCAUCAGCAUGAAACACCCACAUAGAAUCACCCCCACCCCCAAUUUUCUUCAUGGUAUCUAGAUUCAAAGGAUCCACUUUUUGUACUGCUAAAUGUCACUAAAUUCAAGUUUACAGUUCAAUUUCAUAUUAAUUACAGAAUAUAAGAAGAUAUUGUUGGGGAAUUUAA